AGUGAACGCUGGCGGUAGGCCUAACACAUGCAAGUCGAACGGCAGCACAGUAAGAGCUUGCUCUUACGGGUGGCGAGUGGCGGACGGGUGAGGAAUACAUCGGAAUCUACUUUUUCGUGGGGGAUAACGUAGGGAAACUUACGCUAAUACCGCAUACGACCUACGGGUGAAAGCAGGGGAUCUUCGGACCUUGCGCGAUUGAAUGAGCCGAUGUCGGAUUAGCUAGUUGGCGGGGUAAAGGCCCACCAAGGCGACGAUCCGUAGCUGGUCUGAGAGGAUGAUCAGCCACACUGGAACUGAGACACGGUCCAGACUCCUACGGGAGGCAGCAGUGGGGAAUAUUGGACAAUGGGCGCAAGCCUGAUCCAGCCAUACCGCGUGGGUGAAGAAGGCCUUCGGGUUGUAAAGCCCUUUUGUUGGGAAAGAAAAGCAGCAGGUUAAUACCCCGCCGUUCUGACGGUACCCAAAGAAUAAGCACCGGCUAAUUUCGUG
Molecule: ribosomal RNA, 492 nt
Filed under: uncultured bacterium
Lineage: Bacteria
Description: partial 16S ribosomal RNA
Rfam family: Bacterial small subunit ribosomal RNA
Source: RNAcentral